Molecule: long non-coding RNA, 1229 nt
Filed under: Olea europaea subsp. europaea
Lineage: Eukaryota; Viridiplantae; Streptophyta; Magnoliopsida; Lamiales; Oleaceae
Source: RNAcentral
GUGCCAGACACAUAAUUGGACAAUUUGAAAAAUUAAAACAAAAAUAUCCAAUUAUUUUCAGACAUAUUAGUCUGUUUCUUGCCUCCUGUUUUUUAAUUUGGACAAGUGGCUUUCCAGAAUUAAUAUUGCUGCAAUGCAUGAUGCAUCUGUCUGGUGUGUCUUUCUUUUUUUCCUGUUUUUAUGCCUGGUUGACUAGCAUUUUUCUUUUCAAUAGCAGAUCUCUUGCAGCAGUGUCAUUCUAUAGUGGUACUACAAUACAUACAAACCGCUUCGUAUUUUGUGUUUAUAUAUACAAUAAAAAACCAAGAGUUAGUCACGAGUGUCUCCUCAUUUUCGCUGCCGGCAAAUUCCUAUUGUUUGUUCAAUUCCGUGUAGUUAUUUUUUUGCCUCCGCCACACAACACAAAGGCUAACAAUCAGAGCCCAGACCGAUACUUCACUCUCAGUGUAGUGUAGCUCAAGAAUGGAAGCUGUGGAUUCCACGCGUGCAUUUGUCAAAGACGUUAAACGUGUCAUCAUCAAGGUCGCAUUUCUUAUUUUCCAUGUAUUUUUUUUCAUUAUUGGGAUUAAAUUUAUAGUAUUCAAACUCCGAUUUUUGUAAUUACUUAAAUUGUACACGGGAUUUGUUUCAUUAUUUAUUUAUUUAUUUAUUUAUGUUAAUUUACUUGAAUUCUAUAAUUUUGGUUAAUGGUUUACAUUUGUUUGUAUUACUGAAUUGCAAUGAAUUUCAAUUCCCAAUUUAUGUAGAGGUGAAGGUUCACCCUUUGAACCACUGGAUUACUACUUACUAGGAAUGGGGUUCAGUAGAAAAAUAGUCGUUAUAACUGUUUUUCUUUUCUGCUUUGAAAAAAAGAAAAAAGGAAAACACAACAUAUUCAAUUUUCAUGUUCUUCUUAAAUGUUUUGAGUCCGGACAUUAAAUAAUGGGUCAGUAGAUGAUGAGACUAACUGGGGAGGUGUACCAAUAAUUUCAAGGGAGAAUAAUUUGUAUGUCUUAUGCAUUAGAAGGUUGAUUGAAAUGUAGACUGAUUCUUGAGUAAGCUUUAUUUUUAUAGGUCUCGAGUAAUUUUUUGAACUUUGACAUACAGGUAUUUUGUAUUCAAGUUGCAUAUGGAAAUUUGCGAACUCUUGUUGGCCGAAAAUGUUUAAUUACUGUUAUAAGUAAGAGAUAUUGUAAAUUAACAAUUGGAGAGGUAGGGUUGUGAGAAGGAAAUAUAAAUGCUAAAAANAA